AUGCACACGCACCCUUGCUCGACUCCAUCAGAUCAGACGCUCGUUAUUCACGUAUACUCUCACACCAUCACACGUACGUACGACGGUACGAGUGCAUGCAGCUUAACAGUUGCAGGGGUUGCACUUGCAGUUGUCGCCGCAGCUGCAGCCCUCGCCGGACUGGCCGGCGGCCACCUCGAACUGACCUGCCUUGUUCUCAGGCGCCACGCCGAGGACGACCACGGCGGCGACCUGGGCGGCGGCACUGCCCUGCUCCGUCAGAUCAGGGUACACCUUCCUGCAACGGGCGAAGGCAACCGGUCGGCGAAUCAAAUCAAUCGUUCAUCACCACAAUAG
RNAcentral lists this ribosomal RNA (336 nucleotides) under Triticum aestivum (bread wheat). Its description in RNAcentral is "partial small subunit ribosomal RNA". The record is from RNAcentral. Lineage: Eukaryota; Viridiplantae; Streptophyta; Magnoliopsida; Poales; Poaceae.